GUGCUGUGAUGACCUCCAUCUUGGUUUCGCUUAUUGCCGAAUUCCAAUGAUGACACAUUCUCUUGGCUGUCUGAGCAU
RNAcentral lists this small nucleolar RNA (78 nucleotides) under Varanus komodoensis (Komodo dragon). RNAcentral describes it as "Small nucleolar RNA SNORD53/SNORD92 (ENSVKKG00000017989.1)". It matches the Rfam family "Small nucleolar RNA SNORD53/SNORD92". Rfam says of the family: U53 is a member of the C/D class of snoRNA which contain the C (UGAUGA) and D (CUGA) box motifs. Most of the members of the box C/D family function in directing site-specific 2'-O-methylation of substrate RNAs. The human orthologue HBII-316 (SNORD92) is predicted to guide the 2'O-ribose methylation of 28S rRNA A3846. Lineage: Eukaryota; Metazoa; Chordata; Lepidosauria; Squamata; Varanidae. The record is from Rfam by way of RNAcentral.